RNAcentral lists this ribosomal RNA (253 nucleotides) under uncultured bacterium. RNAcentral's name for it is "partial 16S ribosomal RNA". It matches the Rfam family "Bacterial small subunit ribosomal RNA", at positions 524 to 776 of the family's 1533-position model. The record is from RNAcentral.
UACGUAGGGUGCAAGCGUUGUCCGGAAUUAUUGGGCGUAAAGAGCUCGUAGGCGGUUCGUCGCGUCGGCUGUGAAAUCCCGGAGCUCAACUCCGGGUCUGCAGUCGAUACGGGCGGACUUGAGUACUGCAGGGGAGACUGGAAUUCCUGGUGUAGCGGUGAAAUGCGCAGAUAUCAGGAGGAACUCCGGUGGCGAAGGCGGUUCUCUGGGCAUUACCUGACGCUGAGGAGCGAAAGUGUGGGGAGCGAACAGG